GCGGACGAACUUAAAGAAGAG
Molecule: microRNA, 21 nt
Filed under: Bombyx mori (domestic silkworm)
Lineage: Eukaryota; Metazoa; Arthropoda; Insecta; Lepidoptera; Bombycidae
Description: bmo-miR-3254
Source: miRBase by way of RNAcentral